Molecule: ribosomal RNA, 472 nt
Filed under: uncultured bacterium
Lineage: Bacteria
Description: bacterial SSU rRNA
Rfam family: Bacterial small subunit ribosomal RNA
Source: RNAcentral
GGGGGCCCGCAAGCGGUGGAGCACGUGGUUUAAUUCGAUGAUACGCGAGGAACCUUACCAAGGCUUAAAUGUACCACGAAUAAGUUGGAAACAGCUUAGUCUUCGGACGGGGUGCAAGGUGCUGCAUGGUUGUCGUCAGCUCGUGCCGUGAGGUGUUGGGUUAAGUCCCGCAACGAGCGCAACCCCUAUUGUUAGUUGCCAGCGGGUCAUGCCGGGGACUCUGACAAGACUGCCGACGUAAGUCGAGAGGAAGGUGGGGAUGACGUCAAAUCAUCACGGCCCUUACGUCUUGGGCCACACACGUGCUACAAUGGCCGGUACAGAGGGCUGCCACUGGGCGACCAGGAGCGAAUCUCUAAAACCGGUCUCAGUUCGGAUUGGAGUCUGCAACUCGACUCUAUGAAGCUGGAAUCGCUAGUAAUCGCGCAUCAGCCAUGGCGCGGUGAAUACGUUCCCGGGCCUUGUACACACC